Long non-coding RNA from Choloepus didactylus (southern two-toed sloth), 449 nucleotides. RefSeq lists it as uncharacterized. NCBI's taxonomy places the organism in Eukaryota, Metazoa, Chordata, Mammalia, Pilosa, Megalonychidae. The transcript is spliced from 3 exons. The record is from RefSeq and is a predicted model, not a curated record.
AGAAGCAGCACCAGCAGAUCAUGUUCCCUUUGUCCAGAAUUUAUUCACAUGGCCACCUGAAGCUACAGGAGAAAUGAACAUUUGGGUUAUAACUUCUAUAGUAAAAGAGAAUAAAUGAGAAGAGAGUUGUAGUGGACAUUGAGUGAGACCACAUGCAGUAUCUGCACACACUGUGAUCUGGUAUGAAAUUGAUGGUCAGCAAAUACUGUGAGAUGAAACUGAAGGCCAGAAUGCACAAUCUUAUAUAAACACACAUCUUAAAAUAAGGCAAAAUAUUCCAAAGCAAAACUUAAGCUACAAAGUACUAGAAAACUGAUAAAUGAAGAUCUUCAAGACUGUUCAUCACUGGUGCACAGAAACACAACUGAUUAUUGUGUGUUGAUCCUGUACCCCACAGCUUGUCCCACAGAGUUAUUUCCACUGUGAUAAAACCUUUUGUGCCUUCACCC